RNAcentral lists this transfer RNA (73 nucleotides) under Ornithorhynchus anatinus (platypus). It matches the Rfam family "tRNA". Rfam says of the family: Transfer RNA (tRNA) molecules are approximately 80 nucleotides in length. Their secondary structure includes four short double-helical elements and three loops (D, anti-codon, and T loops). Lineage: Eukaryota; Metazoa; Chordata; Mammalia; Monotremata; Ornithorhynchidae. The record is from Rfam by way of RNAcentral.
AGUAGUGUGGUUUAGCGGAUAGAGCAUAGGCCUGGGAAUCGUAAGGACCUGGGUUCUAAUCCCAGCUCUGCCU